GAACGAGAAGCCACCUUCGGGUGGUGGACAGUGGCAGACGGGUGAGUAACGCGUGGGAACGUGCCUUUCAGUUCGGGAUAACCCAGGGAAACUUGGGCUAAUACCGGAUACGCCCUCCGGGGGAAAGAUUCAUUGCCGAAAGAUCGGCCCGCGUCGGAUUAGCUAGUUGGUGGGGUAAUGGCCUACCAAGGCGACGAUCCGUAGCUGGUCUGAGAGGAUGACCAGCCACACUGGGACUGAGACACGGCCCAGACUCCUACGGGAGGCAGCAGUGGGGAAUAUUGGACAAUGGGCGAAAGCCUGAUCCAGCCAUGCCGCGUGGGUGAAGAAGGCCCUAGGGUUGUAAACCCCUUUCAGCGGGGAAGAUAAUGACGGUACCCGCAGAAGAAGCCCCGGCUAACUCCGUG
This 407-nucleotide ribosomal RNA is filed under the name uncultured bacterium. RNAcentral describes it as "bacterial SSU rRNA". It matches the Rfam family "Bacterial small subunit ribosomal RNA", at positions 64 to 507 of the family's 1533-position model. The record is from RNAcentral.